This 497-nucleotide ribosomal RNA is filed under the name uncultured bacterium. Its description in RNAcentral is "partial 16S ribosomal RNA". It matches the Rfam family "Bacterial small subunit ribosomal RNA", at positions 28 to 507 of the family's 1533-position model. The record is from RNAcentral.
GAUGAACGCUGGCGGCGUGCCUAAUGCAUGCAAGUCGAGCGAACGGACGAGAAGCUUGCUUCUCUGAUGUUAGCGGCGGACGGGUGAGUAACACGUGGAUAACCUACCUAUAAGACUGGGAUAACUUCGGGAAACCGGAGCUAAUACCGGAUGAUAUUUUGAACCGCAUGGUUCAAAAGUGAAAGACGGUCUUGCUGUCACUUAUAGAUUGAUCCGCGCUGCAUUAGCUAGUUGGUAAGGUAACGGCUGACCAAGGCAACGAUGGAUAGCCGACUUGAGAGGGUGAUCGGCCACACUGGAACUGAGACACGGUCCAGACUCCUACGGGAGGCAGCAGUAGGGAAUCUUCCGCAAUGGGCGAAAGCCUGACGGAGCAAAGCCGCGUGAGUGAUGAAGGUCUUCGGAUCGUAAACCUCUGUUAUUAGGGAAGAACAUAUGCGUAAGUAAAUGUGCACAUAUUGACGGUACCUAAUCAGAAAGCCACGGCUAACUACGUG